GCGUCUCAUUAGCUAGUUGGUAGGGUAAUGGCCUACCAAGGCAACGAUGAGUAGCUGGUCUGAGAGGAUGAUCAGCCACACUGGAACUGAAACACGGUCCAGACUCCUACGGGAGGCAGCAGUGGGGAAUAUUGCGCAAUGGGCGAAAGCCUGACGCAGCAACGCCGUGUGAGGGAUGAAGGCUUUCGGGUCGUAAACCUCUGUCAGAAGGGAAGAACGGGCAUUGGUCUAAUAGGCCUUUGUUUUGACGGUACCUUCAGAGGAAGCACCGGCUAACUCCGUGCCAGCAGCCGCGGUAAUACGGAGGGUGCAAGCGUUAUUCGGAAUUACUGGGCGUAAAGCGCACGUAGGCCGCUUUGUAAGUCAGGGGUGAAAUCCCACGGCUCAACCGUGGAACUGCCCUUGAAACUGCGAAGCUUGAAUCCUGGAGAGGGUGGCGGAAUUCCUGGUGUAGGAGUGAAAUCCGUAGAUAUCAGGAGGAACGCCGGUGGCGAAGGCGGCCACCUGGACAGGCAUUGACGCUGAGGUGCGAAAGUGUGGGGAGCAAACAGGAUUAGAUACCCUGGUAGUCCACACCGUAAACGAUGGAUACUAGGUGUCGGGGACUUGAUCUUCGGUGCCGUAGCUAACGCGUUAA
RNAcentral lists this ribosomal RNA (637 nucleotides) under uncultured bacterium. RNAcentral's name for it is "bacterial SSU rRNA". It matches the Rfam family "Bacterial small subunit ribosomal RNA", at positions 233 to 863 of the family's 1533-position model. The record is from RNAcentral.